AUUGAACGCUGGCGGAAUGCUUUACACAUGCAAGUCGAACGGCAGCACGGACUUCGGUCUGGUGGCGAGUGGCGAACGGGUGAGUAAUACAUCGGAACGUGCCCAGUCGUGGGGGAUAACGUAGCGAAAGCUACGCUAAUACCGCAUACGAUCUAAGGAUGAAAGCGGGGGAUCGCAAGACCUCGCGCGAUUGGAGCGGCCGAUGGCGGAUUAGGUAGUUGGUAGGGUAAAGGCCUACCAAGCCGACGAUCUGUAGCUGGUCUGAGAGGAUGAUCAGCCACACUGGGACUGAGACACGGCCCAGACUCCUACGGGAGGCAGCGGUGGGGAAUUUUGGACAAUGGGCGCAAGCCUGAUCCAGCCAUUCCGCGUGCAGGAUGAAGGCCUUCGGGUUGUAAACUGCUUUUGUACAGAACGAAAAGGCUCUGGUUAAUACCCGGGGCUCAUGACGGUACUGUAAGAAUAAGCACCGGCUAACUACGUGCCAGCCGCCGCCGUAA
RNAcentral lists this ribosomal RNA (500 nucleotides) under uncultured bacterium. RNAcentral describes it as "partial 16S ribosomal RNA". It matches the Rfam family "Bacterial small subunit ribosomal RNA", at positions 30 to 523 of the family's 1533-position model. The record is from RNAcentral.